This 488-nucleotide ribosomal RNA is filed under the name uncultured bacterium. Its description in RNAcentral is "bacterial SSU rRNA". It matches the Rfam family "Bacterial small subunit ribosomal RNA", at positions 21 to 507 of the family's 1533-position model. The record is from RNAcentral.
GGCUCAGAUUGAACGCUGGCGGCAUGCCUUACACAUGCAAGUCGAACGGCAGCACGGGGCAACCUGGUGGCGAGUGGCGAACGGGUGAGUAAUGCAUCGGAACGUGCCAUUGAGUGGGGAUAACGUAGCGAAAGUUGCGCUAAUACCGCAUAUUCUGUGAGCAGGAAAGCAGGGGACCGCAAGGCCUUGCGCUCUUUGAGCGGCCGAUGUCAGAUUAGCUAGUUGGUGAGGUAACGGCUUACCAAGGCGACGAUCUGUAGCGGGUCUGAGAGGAUGAUCCGCCACACUGGAACUGAGACACGGUCCAGACUCCUACGGGAGGCAGCAGUGGGGAAUUUUGGACAAUGGGCGCAAGCCUGAUCCAGCCAUGCCGCGUGAGUGAAGAAGGCCUUCGGGUUGUAAAGCUCUUUCGGCCGGGAAGAAAUCGCAUGGGUUAAUACCCUGUGUGGAUGACGGUACCGGAAUAAGAAGCACCGGCUAACUACGUG